This 252-nucleotide ribosomal RNA is filed under the name uncultured bacterium. RNAcentral's name for it is "partial 16S ribosomal RNA". It matches the Rfam family "Bacterial small subunit ribosomal RNA", at positions 524 to 776 of the family's 1533-position model. The record is from RNAcentral.
UACGGAGGAUGCGAGCGUUAUCCGGAUUUAUUGGGUUUAAAGGGUGCGCAGGCUGUCGUGCAAGUCAGCGGUCAAAUGUCGGGGCUCAACCCCGGCCUGCCGUUGAAACUGCAUGGCUGGCGUGAGUGUGAGGUAGGCGGAAUGCGUUGUGUAGCGGUGAAAUGCAUAGAUAUGACGCAGAACUCCGAUUGCGAAGGCAGCUUACCAACACUUUACGGACGCUGAGGCACGAAAGCGUGGGUAUCGAACAGG